RNAcentral lists this ribosomal RNA (253 nucleotides) under uncultured bacterium. RNAcentral's name for it is "partial 16S ribosomal RNA". It matches the Rfam family "Bacterial small subunit ribosomal RNA", at positions 524 to 776 of the family's 1533-position model. The record is from RNAcentral.
UACGUAGGGUGCAAGCGUUAAUCGGAAUUACUGAGCGUAAAGCGUGCGCAGGCGGUUUUGUAAGUCUGUCGUGAAAGCCCCGGGCUCAACCUGGGAAUUGCGAUGGAGACUGCAAGGCUUGAAUCUGGCAGAGGGGGGUAGAAUUCCACGUGUAGCAGUGAAAUGCGUAGAGAUGUGGAGGAACACCGAUGGCGAAGGCAGCCCCCUGGGUCAAGAUUGACGCUCAUGCACGAAAGCGUGGGGAGCAAACAGG